RNAcentral lists this ribosomal RNA (724 nucleotides) under uncultured bacterium. Its description in RNAcentral is "bacterial SSU rRNA". It matches the Rfam family "Bacterial small subunit ribosomal RNA", at positions 138 to 857 of the family's 1533-position model. The record is from RNAcentral.
GGGGGAUAACUACUGGAAACGGUAGCUAAUACCGCAUAACGUCGCAAGACCAAAGAGGGGGACCUUCGGGCCUCUUGCCAUCGGAUGUGCCCAGAUGGGAUUAGCUUGUAGGUGAGGUAACGGCUCACCUAGGCGACGAUCCCUAGCUGGUCUGAGAGGAUGACCAGCCACACUGGAACUGAGACACGGUCCAGACUCCUACGGGAGGCAGCAGUGGGGAAUAUUGCACAAUGGGCGCAAGCCUGAUGCAGCCAUGCCGCGUGUAUGAAGAAGGCCUUCGGGUUGUAAAGUACUUUCAGCGGGGAGGAAGGGAGUGAGGUUAAUAACCUUAUUCAUUGACGUUACCCGCAGAAGAAGCACCGGCUAACUCCGUGCCAGCAGCCGCGGUAAUACGGAGGGUGCAAGUGUUAAUCGGAAUUACUGGGCGUAAAGCGCACGCAGGCGGUCUGUCAAGUCGGAUGUGAAAUCCCCGGGCUCAACCUGGGAACUGCAUUCGAAACUGGCAGGCUGGAGUCUUGUAGAGGGGGGUAGAAUUCCAGGUGUAGCGGUGAAAUGCGUAGAGAUCUGGAGGAAUACCGGUGGCGAAGGCGGCCCCCUGGACAAAGACUGACGCUCAGGUGCGAAAGCGUGGGGAGCAAACAGGAUUAGAUACCCUGGUAGUCCACGCUGUAAACGAUGUCGACUUGGAGGUUGUUCCCUUGAGGAGUGGCUUCCGGAGCUAACG